GACGAACGCUGGCGGCGUGCUUAACACAUGCAAGUCGAACGGAAAGGCCCUGCUUUUGUGGGGUGCUCGAGUGGCGAACGGGUGAGUAACACGUGAGUAACCUGCCCUUGACUUUGGGAUAACUUCAGGAAACUGGGGCUCAUACCGGAUAGGAGCUCUUGCUGCAUGGUGGGGGUUGGUAAGUUUCGGCGGUUGGGGAUGUACUCGCGGCCUAUCAGCUUGUUGGUGGGGUAGUGGCUUACCAAGGCUUUGACGGGUAGCCGGCCUGAGAGGGUGACCGGCCACAUUGGGACUGAGAUACGGCCCAGACUCCUACGGGAGGCAGCAGUGGGGAAUAGUGCACAAUGGGCGGAAGCCUGAUGCAGCAACGCCGCGUGCGGGAUGACGGCCUUCGGGUUGUAAACCGCUUUCGCCUGUGACGAAGCGUGAGUGACGGUAAUGGGUAAAGAAGCACCGGCUAACUACGUG
This 468-nucleotide ribosomal RNA is filed under the name uncultured bacterium. RNAcentral describes it as "partial 16S ribosomal RNA". It matches the Rfam family "Bacterial small subunit ribosomal RNA", at positions 28 to 507 of the family's 1533-position model. The record is from RNAcentral.